UACGUAGGGUCCGAGCGUUGUCCGGAAUUACUGGGCGUAAAGAGCUCGUAGGUGGUUUGUCACGUUGUUCGUGAAAACCCACAGCUCAACUGUGGGCGUGCGAGCGAUACGGGCAGGCUAGAGUUCGGUAGGGGAGACUGGAAUUCCUGGUGUAGCGGUGAAAUGCGCAGAUAUCAGGAGGAACACCGGUGGCGAAGGCGGGUCUCUGGGCCGAUACUGACGCUGAGGAGCGAAAGCGUGGGGAGCGAACAGG
RNAcentral lists this ribosomal RNA (253 nucleotides) under uncultured bacterium. RNAcentral's name for it is "partial 16S ribosomal RNA". It matches the Rfam family "Bacterial small subunit ribosomal RNA", at positions 524 to 776 of the family's 1533-position model. The record is from RNAcentral.